Molecule: transfer RNA, 72 nt
Filed under: Stegodyphus dumicola
Lineage: Eukaryota; Metazoa; Arthropoda; Arachnida; Araneae; Eresidae
Description: tRNA-Thr
Rfam family: tRNA
About the family: Transfer RNA (tRNA) molecules are approximately 80 nucleotides in length. Their secondary structure includes four short double-helical elements and three loops (D, anti-codon, and T loops).
Source: RNAcentral
GCCUUCGUGGUGUAACGGUAGCACGCUGGUCUGGUAUUCCAGAGGUCCGUGGUUCGAUUCCCGGCGAAGGCG